GUGGGAGUGGGAGCUGCAGCCACGGCUGUUCCCCGGGCUCUGGGAACAGCCGCCACAGCCGGUGCUCAGGGCCGAGCCAGCCGGGAGCCUGCAGCACAGCGGCUCCGUGCAGUGCCUGCCACAGCCCUGGCCCCUUGAGGGGAGCUGCGGGAUGGCUCUGGAAGAAACCAGGGUGUGCAGAAGCAGCUGCAGAGAAGAUGCAGCAGGACUCAGGGCUACUUGAAAGAGCAUCAGAUGGGCUAUCGUGUUCACAUAUCUAUGAAGCCAGUCAGGUCAUCAAGAUCAACAUCUUCCUUCAGCAAAGUCCAUGUAAAGUGACAUUCGAGCUGCAGCAGGAUAGACUGUAGGGAAUUCUUGGAAAUAUUACUAAAGGAAAAAACAGAAGAAUAUGUUUAAGCAUCUGUGAGAAGAGCAGUUUCAUGAAUAGUUAUACAAAGAAGGACAAUUAA
Long non-coding RNA from Gavialis gangeticus (Gharial), 449 nucleotides. RefSeq lists it as uncharacterized. NCBI's taxonomy places the organism in Eukaryota, Metazoa, Chordata, Crocodylia, Gavialidae. The record is from RefSeq and is a predicted model, not a curated record. The transcript is spliced from 3 exons.